This is a long non-coding RNA of Maniola jurtina (meadow brown), 168 nucleotides long. RefSeq lists it as uncharacterized. The record is from RefSeq and is a predicted model, not a curated record. Lineage: Eukaryota; Metazoa; Arthropoda; Insecta; Lepidoptera; Nymphalidae. The transcript is spliced from 3 exons.
UACAUUGCAAAGAACGGGUACAUACCACCAUUAAUUUAAUGCUUUUUUGUCAAUAUUUCGACCCAAGUGCUCGGGUCGUGGUCACGACGGAAGUUUAGUGCUGCGUGAGAUGAAGUUCGAACUGUCAUGGGCAGUAGCGAACUACCCUCUUUCUUGUUCUUGAACUUC